UAAGUACACUGUAUCCGUCUUCAGACCACACCAGAAGAGGACAUCUGAUCUCAUUACAGAUGGUUGUGAGCCACUGUCUGGUUGCUGGGAUUUGAACUCAGGACCUCUGGAAGAGCAGUCAGUGCUCUUAACCACUGAGCCAUCUCUCCAGCCCAACUUUUUUAUCACUUUUUUUUUUUUUCCCGGAGCUGGGGACCGAACCCAGGGCCUUGUGGUUGCUAGGCAAGCGCUCUACCGCUGAGCUAAAUCCCCAACCCCAACUUUUAUAUUUUUAAAAGCUAUUUAUUUAGGGGACUGGAGAUGCUCGGUGGUUAAAAGCACUUGUUGCUCCUAUUGAGGACUCGAGUUCAAUUCCCAGCAACCACACAGUUGCUUACAAACAUCCGUAACUCCAGUUCCUGGAUAUAACACUCUCUUCUGACCUCCUCAAGCACCAGGCACACACACAGGUACACACACAUAUAUACACUCAUACACAUAAAGUAUAUUUUUUAAAAAAUUUGUUGGGGCUGGGGAUUUAGCUCAGUGGUAGAGCGCUUACCUAGGAAGCGCAAGGCCCUGGGUUCGGUCCCCAGCUCCGAAAAAAAGAACCAAAAAAAAAAAAAAAAAUUUGUUUUUAUUUCAUGUGCAUUGGUGUCUUGCCUGCAUGCGUGUCUGUGUGAGGGUGUUGGAUCCUCUGGACCUGGAGUUACAGACAGUGGUAGUGCUAUGUGGGUGCUGGAAUGAGCCCAGGUCCUCUGGAAGGGCAGCCAGUACUCGUAACUGCUGAGCCAUCUCUCCAGCCCCCAAGUAAAUAUUUUCUUAAAGCUACUUUUAAAAAUUAAUACUGUGCAUGUACGCAUUUUUGGGUGUGCAUUUGAAGGUCAGAGGACAAUUUCCUGGAGUCAGUUUUCUCUUUCCACUUUUUUUUACAUGGGUCAGGGGCAUAGAACCCAAGUCUCCAGACUUACAGGGCAAACCCCUCUGCCCACUGCAUCACGUCUCUGCCCCGCCCCCCUUUGAGGCCAGUUCUCUUUGCAGCCCUAGGUGGCUAUGUCAUUGAGGCUGACCUUGAACUCCAGAUCCUCCUGCCCUCUGUUAAGUGCUGAGAUUAUGGGUGUGUCCCUAUCCCCAGGGUGACUUUUAAAGGAGACCCAUUAAACCAGGGAAAGGCACCCUAUCUGAACUAGUCCUUCUGGAAUCUCUGUGGUUUCCUAAGAACGGGGAAGCUUAGGGAGCCAGAAUGCUAUUUUCUGUGUGCAGAAGUAAAAUAACUCAGCCAUAGAUUUCUAUUCCUGGUCGAAAUGAAAAUUAGUUUUUGAGAGUCCUGUAGCUGCUCAGUCUGUAGUGUGUCCUACUGUUGACCCUGGUGGCCAAGAGCCCGAGGAUUCAAAUGUUAAAAUUAGAAUUGGCUUUGAGGACUGGCUCUAUUUACUAGCCGGGCAGAUUGUUUUUAUUUACCUAACACUUAAUACAGCGUUCGCUGUGAGCCAAGCACUGUUGUAAGCAUUUUUCAAAUAUUUGCUGGGCUAGUCUUCAGACUAGCGAUGCUAUUAUAUAAGACUGCCGUAAAGCUGGGCUAUUCUCUUCAUCUGAGUAUGAGGCACUCAAGACUGGGGGUGCGGGGCGGUUGCGGUAGCAUCCAUCGACCUAGACCUGUGAGUUUUAGCUGUCGGCCACAGCACACCCAGAGCAAAAUAGAUGAUACAGCCAUUUUGCUACGAAGGCCUCGCUCCCGGGGUAAAGGGAGGCUACAAGGGAGACCAUCUUCAAGGAAGCAAGAAAGACCCCGCUCCUUCCGGCACAGUGGGUUCAGGAAAUCCCAGGAAAGGGAGAAUUCGCUCCCACUGGCUUCCUCGCCUAUUGAGUCUCUAGAAGCUCCUUGUUAUUCAGUUCACAGCCCCUGUCCUGUGCCGUUUCCGUUUCCUUGAACAGCAGGCAUCUAGACAUGAUGCUGGUCCCCACAGCUCCUCAUCUCAUUACUCAUUCUGUUUACGGCGAAGCCUCACCCUCCAGACUGCCCUGAUUUCCCAAGCCAGGAAUUUGGCUGCCCUUGUUGACUGUGAUUCAGAUUUUCGCCUCAGCAACACUGCGACCAGGCCCUCCUGUGUACACACUCCUCCGGACACCCUGGGGACCCUGUCGGGAGUAAGGCAGAUUUCUGUGAAACACGUCUCAGGACAGAGGCACCUACAGCGGUCAGAAGCACAACUCUCGGGAGUUGUAACCUCGAACCAUGUGGGUCCCGUGGGUACAGGGAUCAAACCCCGAUCCUCAGGCCGAACCGCAAGCUCCUUUGCUUGCUAAACCAUCUCUUGAACCUUCUGCCUCUACUUCCUAAUUGCUGAGAAUCCAAGCACCCAUUACUCCCCUGGGCUCCAAGCUGGUACUUACAGACCGCUCACUGCCUCGCAGGUUCUCUCUGUAUCAAUGUUUCCCAUUGGGCACCCGGGAAGGAGCAUAUUAUAAACUUUGGAUUCGAUUCCUACGUGACUCAGGUGGCCUUGAGGUCCAGAUCAGCCUCCUAUACUCCCAUUUGUGUUCUUUCUUUCCUUCCCAGGUUACAAAGGAGUCAGCAAACAAAGCAAAAACAUGACAAAAACCAAUCAGAGCCAGGCGGGCUCUGACUGAAGGCAGUGGAAUUCCAAGCUUCGGUUUGCACAGCCUGGACUCAUUAAACUUGAAAAGAACCUG
Molecule: non-coding RNA, 2673 nt
Organism: Rattus norvegicus (Norway rat)
Lineage: Eukaryota; Metazoa; Chordata; Mammalia; Rodentia; Muridae
Source: RefSeq, a predicted model, not a curated record